This 199-nucleotide ribosomal RNA is filed under the name uncultured Achromobacter sp. Its description in RNAcentral is "partial 16S ribosomal RNA". It matches the Rfam family "Bacterial small subunit ribosomal RNA", at positions 334 to 524 of the family's 1533-position model. The record is from RNAcentral. Lineage: Bacteria; Pseudomonadati; Pseudomonadota; Betaproteobacteria; Burkholderiales; Alcaligenaceae.
UACUCCUACGGGAGGCAGCAGUGGGGAAUUUUGGACAAUGGGGGAAACCCUGAUCCAGCCAUCCCGCGUGUGCGAUGAAGGCCUUCGGGUUGUAAAGCACUUUUGGCAGGAAAGAAACGUCAUGGGUUAAUACCCCGUGAAACUGACGGUACCUGCAGAAUAAGCACCGGCUAAAAUACGUGCCAGCAGCCGCGGUAAU